Apis mellifera (honey bee) is the source of this 5800-nucleotide RNA transcript. It is a transcript of the gene named protein NDRG3, with no coding region annotated. Lineage: Eukaryota; Metazoa; Arthropoda; Insecta; Hymenoptera; Apidae. The record is from RefSeq and is a predicted model, not a curated record. The transcript has 10 exons.
CUGAGUCGUGUAUUCGGGCCAAUAGUAAUCGUGCGGUGCCUUUGAGAACACGGUACGGUCUCUCGUUAGUCUCGUCUCUCGUGGUGCGUUUUCACACGUCACGUCGGAAGCGAGAAGGGCAAACGAAGAAAAGAAGGGAACAACAACGAAAGUUUUACGUCGUGUCGGGUUAAGAGAUAGAAACAGAUCGAAACGAAUUAGACGCCAGAAUUGUCGCGAGACAAUAGAAAAGUCCGUAACAAAGUUUCGGACAAAAUUCCUUGCGUCUCGUACUCGUCUGUCGCGUCUCUGUUUCCGUGCUAUCGUGUUCGAAAGUCGCAGAGAAGCUGCAACUCUUUUUCGGUACCAGGAUUCCGCAGCGGGAGCCGCGCAAGACGAGCAUCAUCAUCAACGCGGCUACACCAGCGGCCGAAGGGGCGGCACACGAGGGACGAGAGUGUCGGGUGAGGAAGUACGGCCAAGUAAAAGAGAGACGGAUCCACCUUUAACGGUGGACAGAGGGAUCAUCCUUGUGUCGAAGACGUCCGUACAGGUCGUCGAGGAUCGGGGUUUGUCAUCGUGGGCGAGUAACAGCGGAGGGAAAAGGGCUCGCCAUGCCGGCAGGUAUUGGCGCUUCGUACAGGUCGCUAGGCGACCUGGGCGAAGACGUGUACAAAAGCACGACGAUCGUCGACCAAACACAGACCACCGGACAAAGCGUCCUCGAGAGUGUGAAGAAGGCUUUCAGUUUCGCCUCGCCCAAGGUCGAGCUGAGGAAAAAGGACCCUCUGAUCGUGGACCGCCGUGAGAGCGUCUCGAUCGUCUCAAGGGAAAGAAACAGGAUGCCGACCGCCGCCACACCCGAGAAAUCAGCUCUUUUGGGCACGAUGCCCUCAGAUAGUAUGGAUGACAUCGAACUGAAAAAUAUUCAACUGCAAUUUCCACCGCUGAGAUGUCUAUCGAGAGAUGACAGUUCCGUGCGAGAGGAGAGGGUUGAAACCGACAAAGGAAGUAUUUUGGUGGCUGUGCAAGGGAAUCGAGCGAAACCUGCCAUUCUCACUUAUCACGACUUAGGCCUUAACUAUAUAUCGAGCUUCCAGGCGUUCUUCAAUUAUAUCGACAUGAGAGUUUUACUGGAGAAUUUCUGCGUUUAUCACGUGAAUGCACCUGGCCAAGAAGAAGGUGCACCCACGCUGCCUGAGGACUACAUCUAUCCGUCCAUGGACGAGCUGGCUGAACACCUGCUCUUCGUAUUGAGCCAUUUUGGGCUGAAAUCCGUAAUCGGUUUUGGAGUCGGUGCAGGGGCCAACAUACUAGCGAGAUUCGCACUCGCUCAUCCCGAGAAGGUCAAUGCUCUUUGCUUGAUAAAUUGCGUGUCGACACAAGCUGGCUGGAUCGAAUGGGGAUAUCAGAAACUGAACGUUCGCCACUUGAGAUCGCAGGGGAUGACUCAAGGUGUAUUGGAUUAUCUGAUGUGGCAUCACUUUGGCAGGGGCACGGAGGAAAGGAAUCACGAUCUUGUACAAGUGUACAAAAAUUAUUUCGAGCGUCGCGUGAAUCCGACGAACCUGGCAUUAUUAAUCGACAGCUACGUUCGCCGUACAGAUCUGAACAUCACGAGAGAAUUAGAUCCUACGCGUAAGAAGGAAGGCCUCACGCUUGGUGUACCUGUGAUGAAUAUCACAGGAGCUUUGAGCCCACAUGUCGACGAUACCGUCACGUUAAAUGGACGAUUAGAUCCGAUGAAUAGCUCUUGGAUGAAGAUUUCUGAUUGCGGAAUGGUACUGGAGGAGCAACCGGGCAAAGUAAGCGAGGCCUUUCGACUAUUUCUGCAGGGGGAAGGAUAUGUGGUGAGAUCCCCGCGGAAGCCCGUGACGCCGACAACACCCGAAGGUAAUUGUAAUUAGGAAUUGAAGGCCGCAAGGAGUCAAGCGCGCAGUUGGUCAGUUAGGCCACGUCUAUAUGUUAAUGGCACCAUUAUCACCGUUGAAAAUGGCUGACUACAGACUGGCUUCUCUCGAGGGAUUGAAUCACGUUUGCAGUAAGAAAAUCGACUGGCCCACCGCGACUAUACACAUCACCGAGAAUCCCAUAUCGGAGGCAGUCGUUUGUUAAAUUUUUCUUGGGAAAAAAAAAAAAAAAAAAUAUGCCAUUGAUUGUUUUCGAAUGACAAAGCAUGCAAGAACUUAAAGAGAAAAAAAAAAAAGAAAAAAAAAAAAAGAAGAAUAAGAAGAAGAUGGGAAAAGAAAAUCACGCGAAUCGAACAUCGAUAUUUUUUAAAAUUUUGUUGGAACAAGGACGUGGCUCUAACUUUUAAUUUUCGUUUAACAAACUAACUAACAUCGUAUUCGAAUUUUAGUUUUAAGAAUAUUCUUAUUUUAUCAUCGAUUUGUUUUAAGUUGCUCCUCCAUUUCUUUUAUUUAUAUUAACGUUAAGAUAACUAGAAUUAACAGUUUUUGGCUGGUACGAAUUAUCUUUUGUACCGCCCUGUGUACUGCACGUUUUUCUCAUUUUAUGUAUUAGUAAUAAUUCAAAUUAGUUGUUAGUCUUUAUUUUAAACGCAAUAAGAAUUUUAUCGUUUUAUUAUUCACGCAUUGAACCCGGUUAUCGUUCAUUAUAAUUCAGAAAUUAAACAUUAAUUCACUUUUAAAAAUCGAAAACGAUUAUUAAAAUCGAACGAUAUGACGAUUUUUACUGUUAUCUAUGGUAUCUUUGUUCAAUAGAACGAACGUAUUUUUUUAAAGUCUCAACGAACGUGUUACACUCGUCCUCGUCGACGGUCGUUUUUUUAAUAAUGAAAUCUCAAAUUAAAAAAAAAAGUGUGCGAUUACAUAAAGGCGCGACUGUAAUCCAAUAAUCCAUCGCAUUCAUCGCAAAUACUCGCAAAUACGAUUCUCGUACAACAUCAGAAACAACGAAAAAUCAUGAUUUUACUUAACUGUAACUUUUACAGAGGAGCAAGGUGAGAAAGAAUGAAACGAGAGGAAUAAAAUGCAAAAUUCAAAACGGAGAGAAGGUACUCGUCGAAGCGAUGCGUACGAAGUAAAUUUAUUCUCGAGUACGAUAACUAAUAGAUCGAUUAUUCCAAUGAUUCGAUCGACUAUUCUAAAGAUAAUUAUUAUUCGAAACAAUGCGCAAAAAAAAAAAGAAAAAAAAAAAAAGAAAAAGAAAAAGAAGAAAAAAAAAUCGAAUCAUAUUAAAGAUGAACAUGUGUGGUAGCACUGCAUCGUAGAGAAGCGCGCACUAUUGCUUUCCGUGUUCAUAAGGAGGGUACGAGUACGACUGGUAGGUGCAGAACACAAAGGAGUCAAGUUUGUAGAAAGAGGAUUACUCGUAUUAUUACGAUGGGAUUAAAUAACGAGCGCAUGAUAUGAUCUUUUUAUAAAUUUGAAUCCGUCCUCCCGCGCCUACUAAGUUUUCGUGAAUGAAUGAGUAAAAUCGUUGAGCCUCGUCGAUAUUAGCUUUGUAGCAUUCUUAUCGAAUUCGACGAGUUGACUAUAUUACUCGCGAUAAAUCAAUGCUCGAACAAUACGACAAGUUACACGGUUAUGAAUCCAAAUAUUUCGCUAACGUUAAUGUAUAGCGAGAGAGAGGGAGAGAAAGUUAUGAAAACAAAGGUAACAAAGGUAGGUAUCGAUAAAUUAGACAUUGAUCGAAGUGUCUUCGAUGAUGUCGGUUCGUUCGUUAUUCGUUACGGAUACUUUUUCGAAGUGCUGGAAUGUAAGAAAAAAAAGAAAAAAGAAAAGAAAAGAAAAGCCUAAAAAGCAAUCGGUCGCGACGAGCGACUGUUCGUGUUCUUUUAAAGGUAAAGAAAAAUUCUCGUAGGCCUGCACGUAUGACAUGUGCUUCGUGUUAAAAAAAAAAAAGAACAGGGAAUUUAUUCGGGGAUAUUCGCGCGUUUCAACAUCCUCGAACGAUUGAAUUCCAUGGAACAAUAACGUUUCCUUGGCCGGCAACUGAAACGUUCAUUUGUUUGCGCUCGCGCACCGUUCGCACCCUUUCCUAGUUUCAAGCGUUUAGAAAAUAAUUAGAAGGGAGGAUAUGUGUAUGUAUGCGAGUGUGCGUGUACGUGGAACGGAGAAAAAGGGAAACGAAUAUGUGCGUCUGAGUGAUUAUACACAUAGGAACGAGGAUACAUAGAUAGUCGUUCAAGGAAAAGAAAAAAAAAAAUUAAAAAAAAAAAGGAAUAAAGAAUUCAAAAAAUUAGAAAAAAAAAAAAAAGAAAAAGGAGUAUCUGGUUCGGUACCUUAAUACGGUUCUACCAGGCUUCUUAAAAGCCUCUAGCGUGAUAUGAUAAGACGUGCCUGCUACAUGAUGUCGUACGUAGCUUUUGAAAGUUUCAACGCCUUUAGUUUUUUAUCACACGAUUCCCGUACGUCCCGGAUUUUCCCCAAUUUUCGCGCGUCCUUUUUAGAACGAAGCGUGCAAUACGCUACAUUUAUGGUAAUAAUCGCCAUUGGAAAUUAAUACUACGUUUUGUAGCGGACGCUCGAAAUUUCUUACAUAUCCUCGAAAUUUCGAAAUACCGAAUCAAAUUUGUUCCCGAUCAUCCGACUAGUUUUGUUCGUAAUUUAUGGAAAAAAGGAUCUUUGAAAAAAAAAAAGAAAGAAUUCUCCAAAAAAUUAUUUGGAAACGGAUUAAAGAAAGAUGUAUAAAGAGUUAUAAAAAGUUUCUUUAAAAUUCUACGUUCUAGCAAAAUUUUCGUAGUACGGCAUUUACAACCAUCAAUGGCGUGUACUGUGCACGUCGGAGUGAUACGGUAUCGUUUCUCGAUCAACGAAGAGAAAUAACAAAAAAAGAAUGGUAUUUUAGCAUGAAACUCGAAUAAAGACGAAGGAGAUGCGCGAAAACACGACGAAAGUCAAGACAAAGGACGUAUCGAGGGAAGAAAGGUUUAAUCGUUUCAUGUAAAAGAGAGUUUAUAAAAAAAAAAAAAGAGCGAAUAUAUUAUAGAUGUAUACAUAUGACGCGUUAUUUAGGCCGGCGAAUUGAAGACAGAUCUGUAGUCGACAGCUUAGUAUGUUGUAGAAAUUUGAAAAACUCGAUUCUUCGAGAGGAUUGAAGGAGACAAAAGAAGAAAAAAAAAAAAAAAAAAAAAAAAAAAAUAAGGAAUGCACGCAUUAAUCAUUGCUAAAACGCGAAUGCUAUAAGAGUAAUCGUAGCUUCUAAGGACCACCAAAACACACACAUUAUCCAUUAAUCCCUUCGUUUCCACGUCGCUCUUGGAACUGCAUUAUAGAAACAUUCAAGAACGGAUUAGAUCCACAACGUUCGAAUCCCACAACGUGUUUCCCCCCAUUAAUUGUAUUUGAUUGAACAUAUCGUGGAAAAGUGUGAUACGAUUGCAUUGUACAAGCCGUUCAACAGAGAUCUAAUCGUAACCUUUGAUCUUUCAUUGAAGAUGUUCAUGAGACGCAUAUCAUUAGUAAGAGUUAAUUUACAAAUUGUAUUAUAUUCGUUAUGAUCGAUGGAAGAAAGGAAAAAAAAAAAAAAAAUUAGAGGAAAACAAAAGAUAAAUUAUCGAUUGUUCGAGAAUGAUAUCGUGUCUGUAUUUUAAUUGAAAUGCUAACUGGUGAUUGAAUGUCUAUAAAGGGGUACAAAACAUGAUUGUUGGUUACGAAGGGCUUAAAAAAAAAUUCAUUUUGCACACGAUCGAUCACAAAUAAUCGGUAUCAAAACGCUACUACAAUCUCGCAGAAGGAUAACGAUAUGUUUUUCCUCGAGGUGCUACGUGGAUAAUUUUCGUCUCCGAAGCAAAUUUCCAAAAACAAAUUCCUCGCGCCGUAUCAUCAGAUAGAUUGUAGUGAAAAAAAAAAAAAAA